UUAGAUAUAAAUGAAUUUAAUUGUUUGCCAGAGUACUACGAACAAAAUCGUUUAAAACUCAAAGAGCUUGGCGGUGCUUUAGACUUCUCAGGGGAACUUGUCUCGUAAUCGACAGUCCACGAAUCAACCUCACCUUUCCUAGCAUUCAGUAUGUAUACCGUCGUCGUCAGGUAACUUUUAAAAAUAUAGGAGUUAGCAAGAAAACUUUUAGGUUUUCACGUCAGAUCAAGGUGCAGCCUAUGGAAAGGAGAAGAUGAGUUACAAUUAAGAAUUAUAAUUACGGAUAUUAGUCUUAAUGACUUUUAGAUGAAGGAGGACUUGAAAGUAUAAAUUAGUAGUUAGAUGUUUUGAAUUCAGCUCUGAAGCG
This 367-nucleotide ribosomal RNA is filed under the name Echinolittorina tuberculata. RNAcentral's name for it is "partial 12S ribosomal RNA". Lineage: Eukaryota; Metazoa; Mollusca; Gastropoda; Littorinimorpha; Littorinidae. The record is from RNAcentral.